This 497-nucleotide ribosomal RNA is filed under the name uncultured bacterium. RNAcentral's name for it is "partial 16S ribosomal RNA". It matches the Rfam family "Bacterial small subunit ribosomal RNA", at positions 28 to 507 of the family's 1533-position model. The record is from RNAcentral.
GAUGAACGCUGGCGGCGUGCCUAAUACAUGCAAGUCGAGCGAACAGACGAGGAGCUUGCUCCUCUGACGUUAGCGGCGGACGGGUGAGUAACACGUGGAUAACCUACCUAUAAGACUGGGAUAACUUCGGGAAACCGGAGCUAAUACCGGAUAAUAUAUUGAACCGCAUGGUUCAAUAGUGAAAGACGGUUUUGCUGUCACUUAUAGAUGGAUCCGCGCCGCAUUAGCUAGUUGGUAAGGUAACGGCUUACCAAGGCAACGAUGCGUAGCCGACCUGAGAGGGUGUUCCGCCCCACUGGAACUGAGACACGGUCCAGACUCCUACGGGGGGCAGCAGUAGGGAAUCUUCCGCAAUGGGCGAAAGCCUGACGGAGCAACGCCGCGUGAGUGAUGAAGGUCUUCGGAUCGUAAAACUCUGUUAUUAGGGAAGAACAAAUGUGUAAGUAACUAUGCACGUCUUGACGGUACCUAAUCAGAAAGCCACGGCUAACUACGUG